UACGAGGGGGGCGAGCGUUGUUCGGAAUUAUUGGGCGUAAAGGGUGCGUAGGCGGUUUGGUAAGUCUGAUGAAAUCUAUGGGCUCAACUCAUAGUCUGCAUCGGAAACUGCCGGGCUUGAGUGUGGGAGAGGUGAGUGGAAUUCCUGGUGUAGCGGUGAAAUGCGUAGAUAUCAGGAGGAACACCUGUGGCGAAAGCGGCUCACUGGACCAUAACUGACGCUGAUGCACGAAAGCCAGGGGAGCAAACGGG
This 251-nucleotide ribosomal RNA is filed under the name uncultured bacterium. RNAcentral describes it as "partial 16S ribosomal RNA". It matches the Rfam family "Bacterial small subunit ribosomal RNA", at positions 524 to 776 of the family's 1533-position model. The record is from RNAcentral.